Molecule: ribosomal RNA, 84 nt
Filed under: uncultured bacterium
Lineage: Bacteria
Description: partial 16S ribosomal RNA
Source: RNAcentral
UUUCGGAGUGUAAACCCUUUCGACCGGAAGAAGGCCGCAAGGGUUUGACGGUACGGGUAUAAGAAGCCCCGGCUAACUACGUGC